This 1360-nucleotide ribosomal RNA is filed under the name uncultured bacterium. RNAcentral describes it as "partial 16S ribosomal RNA". It matches the Rfam family "Bacterial small subunit ribosomal RNA", at positions 83 to 1374 of the family's 1533-position model. The record is from RNAcentral.
GGGGGGGGAAGGGGGGGGGGGGGGGGAGAGAAAAACAACCCGGGAAAAAAAUAAUUUUUUCCCCCCCUUUUAUUUUUUGGGGGAAAAACCCCCUCAAAAAAAAAGUUUGGGAAUUAAACCCCGGGGUAAAGGCCCCGGGGGGAGGGGCUUUUUUCCCCUUGGGUAUAGGGCUUGGGGUAAAAGAGCGGUUUUUGGAAUGUUCCUGGGCGUUUUUUUCAGCUUGUUGGUGGAGGUUACCGGCUCCCCCAAGGGCUAUGGAGGAAAAGUAGUGUGGAGAGGGAUGAUCAGCCUCACUGGAACUGAGACACGGUCCCAGACACUACNGGGUGCNAGCAGUCGAGAAUCAUUCACAAUGGGCGNAAAGCCUGAUGGUGCGACGCCGCGUGGGGGAUGAAGGCUUCGGUUCGUAAACCCCUGUCAUCUGUGAGUAAGACUCCCAAUAAAAGCUUGGGAGGUUGAUAUUAGCAGAAGAGGAAGGGACGGCUAACUCUGUGCCAGCAGCCGCGGUAAUACAGGGGUCCCAAGCGUUGUUCGGAUUUACUGGGCGUAAAGAGUGCGUAGGCGGCUAGAAAAGUUUGGUGUGAAAUCUUCGGGCUUAACCCGGAAACUGCACUGAAAACUAUCUGGCUAGAGGAUCGGAGAGGAGAUUGGAAUUCUCGGUGUAGCAGUGAAAUGCGUAGAUAUCGAGAGGAACACCAGUUGCGAAGGCGGAUCUCUGGACGGUUUCUGACGCUGAGGCACGAAAGCUGGGGUAGCGAAGAGGAUUAGAUACCCUCGUAGUCCCAGCCGUAAACGGUGCACACUUGCUGUGGGCGGAUUCGACCCCGUCCGUGGCGAAGCUAACGCGAUAAGUGUGCCGCCUGGGGAGUACGGUCGCAAGAUUAAAACUCAAAGAAAUUGACGGGGGCCUGCACAAGCGGUGGAGUAUGUGGCUUAAUUCGAUGCAACGCGAAGAACCUUACCUGGCCUUGACAUGUAGUGGACCGGGUGCGAAAUCACCCUUUUCUUCGGAACUGCUACACAGGUGCUGCAUGGCUGUCGUCAGCUCGUGUCGUGAGAUGUUGGGUUAAGUCCCGUAACGAGCGCAACCCUUAUCCUUAUUUGCCAGCACAUAAUGGUGGGAACUAUAAGGAGACUGCCGGUGAUAAACCGGAGGAAGGCGGGGACGACGUCAAGUCAUCAUGGCCCUUACGACCAGGGCUACACACGUGCUACAAUGGGAAGGACAAAGGGUCGCUAAGCCGCGAGGUGGUGCUAAUCUCAUAAACCUUUUCGUAGUCCGGAUCGGAGUCUGCAACUCGACUCCGUGAAGUCGGAAUCGCUAGUAAUCGGGAUCAGAACGCCAUCGUGUUAGCGCCCC